This 22-nucleotide ribosomal RNA is filed under the name Oreochromis niloticus (Nile tilapia). The record is from RNAcentral. Lineage: Eukaryota; Metazoa; Chordata; Actinopteri; Cichliformes; Cichlidae.
GGCUUACGGCCAUACCAGCCUG